GCUCUCCAGACUUCCAGGAAGAGCGGUCAGAUGCCCACUGGGGGCAAGUCCCUUCACUUCUUUGGAUGGAAGGUGCAUAUCUAUGAGGUACAGUGAUGGUUGUGGAAUUACUCUCCCGGAAAACCUUUCCAGACAGGGGUGAGUCUCAUCUUUCUGGGAUAAUGUGGGUGCAGCCCUGCCUUGGAGUUUGGUCGGCAGCCUCUUGAGAUUCAUUCCAGUCUGAUGAUUCUCUCAUUUUACACCAAUAGAUGCACUGGGGCAAAAAAGGCAUCCAACAGACACAAUCGGUGGAUGUAAAGAUUGUGCUGACUAAGCAAACAGCUUUUAAACAAGCCCUCUGUGCCUCCCCUUCCCUAAUCCCUAACCCUGGACCAGCCUAAAUGCCUUUCUUAAAGAAUCUUGAAACUCCCACCGUCCCAGACUCCCUGCUCUCUGUCCUACGAAGAGAGAAAGAAGAAACGCUGAUUUGCAUUGCUCUUGCUGCUUAUGAGUAAGAUGGGAGGAGAAAAAGGGGAAAAGAACCUAAAGAGCAGGGGAAAGACGAUAUAGAAUCGAUAGGCUGUAUACAUGGAGACAGUCAUUAACUCUAAAGGAAACCAAGAAACCCAGAAGGAGAAAGGAAAAUAAAGAUAACUGGUAAAUUAGCAUUAUAGGUUUUUUAAAAACUCUUUUUGAAAGACAUCCCUCUGCAGGACCCUUCCUGCACCCAAAUGUGUCAAAGCCAUAAUCUUGCAGUCUCCUGUAAUGCCACCCCACAGCCCAUAUGACCAGCAUGGACCAGCAAGGCCAAGCACACGGAGGAAUGCUGAUGUUUAGAUAAUUGGGUGGAGAUGAGGUGUGGCCUGAGAAACAAGUAGAGGUUAUUCUUUAAAAAGUGUUUUCUCAUUAAGACCCAGUCAAACUGCUCAGGUGCGGUGCCAAGGGGGUUAAUGUACAAAUUCAGAAGCUCUAUGAAGGUUACAUUCUGGCCUUGGAGAGACACACAAGGGUAGGUUUCUUAAAAUGCAUUGACUUGGCCUCUUCCCCAAGCGCAGUCACCUUUUGAACUGCUUAGGAUGACCCAGGAGAAGAACAGAAAGCUCUGCAACCAGAAACUCUGUGUGAGUGUUUAUAGAGAACAAUCAGAGGGCUGUCUAGAAAACAAACUGCCUCAUUUCUUCAAUAGUAGCUAUUCAGGCAGCAAGAGGCAAUUUAAAGACUGGCCAGCAAAGUUAAAGUGCCCUGUUUGGGAGAUGGGCAUAAAUGACAACAUUUUUAUUCUACUCCAGCUUUUAUGCAUUGCUCAACUUCACAAUACUUAAAUAAAGUGCUUUCUUCUGGGGAUGUCAAGUACAUGAUACCUCAGCUACAGGUACUAUGAUAGAAUUACAUGGAUAUAUCCCACACAUCUAAACUCCAAUACAGAAUACUUAGGGAUUUUUAGUAAGAUGCACAAAUGAGUAUUUUUAGGCACAAAGUUAUUGCCAAGUCUGGUCUUCACAGAAAGAAGUAAUUGAUGUAGUGUCUUAAUCUAAAUUUUUUUCUUCUUUAUAGCAUCUACUUCUUUUAAACAAGGACAGAUGGAGCCAUAGGGUGUUAACUGGACUUUACUUCUAAUCCAUGGCAGAAUCAUCCCUCCCUUAUAGAAUUGGGCAAUAUACCACAUACCACAUUCCUACCUUCUUAGGCAAGAAGGGACAUUUCUAAAAAUUUCUGAUAAACCACAACUGCAUGAAUGCUGGGAAGCUUGGCUGCUUUUUGAGUCUGUGCCUGUCACUAAAGUACCACAGGUCCCAGCCUCUGCUAUACACACCCAUACAUACCCCAUCUGCUUGGGGGAAGCUAAUAUUUACCCUACCCACUUCCUAGGGACACUGGGGGCCGUAGGCAUUCCUAUAAGUGUUAUUUGUUAGCACUAUAAAAGCACUAUAAAAAAGUUACAGUUCAAGGUGAUAUUUACUGACUUAUAUGUAACUCUCCUUACUGGUGUCCUUAAAAUUCAUCUCUAACAUACUUUAUUAUGUUUGCCUCUGUUUAGAAAAUGUGACAAGAAGUUAUAGACUCUUCGUGAUGGGGUCAGUAGUUAUAGCAUAAGCAAGCAACUCACAUGGUUUGCUCCCAGAAGGGAGACCUUAGGAAUACUUAUCUCUAGGGACAAGACUUGAAAUCUGAGAGUCAGAUCCAAAUAUUGCCAGAUGGCUGGCAAUACCUUUAAGCUGAAGAGUGGGUGUUUGGCUCCCACACUGAGUGUUCUGCAUCCUGAACUGAGACUCUGUGGAAGCACCAGGUAUGUGCAUCCCCAAAGCUUUGGCUUCAAAUAUGUUGGAUGCUCUCCUGAACCAUUUCUGUUUGUCCAAGGCAUUUGACCAUAUCCUGGCAGUUCACUCAGGUAUCUGCCCUCCGCACAAAACUUCUGAUCACAACUGCCUACAUCCACAAGGAAACACUUGAGUCAAGUUUAGCAGAACAUUACUGCAGCACGGUACAAGAUAAUUUCCCAACAGACAGGCAGCCAUUCUCUUGAACCUAAAGACUAAAGGAGGAGGCACAGAAAAUAGAGAUAUUUCAUCACUCAGGUGCCACUGAAUUUGCAUCUUUAACCCAAAAUGUAUUAAGCUUCAGUCUGACAAUUAGCUAACAAGGGCAAAAAUGCACAGAGACAAGCAGAAGGUGGAAAUUUCUUAUUUAUUUUUUAAUUUUUGAGACAGAGUGUUAUUCUGUCACCUAGGCUAGAGCACAGUGGCACGACUUGGCUCACUGCAAC
Sapajus apella (tufted capuchin) is the source of this 2743-nucleotide long non-coding RNA. RefSeq lists it as uncharacterized. The transcript is spliced from 3 exons. NCBI's taxonomy places the organism in Eukaryota, Metazoa, Chordata, Mammalia, Primates, Cebidae. The record is from RefSeq and is a predicted model, not a curated record.